GCCCUUAGAGUUUGAUCCUGGCUCAGGACGAACGCUGGCGGCGCGCCUAACACAUGCAAGUCGAACGAGAGAGAGGGAGCUUGCUUCCUCAAUCGAGUGGCGAACGGGUGAGUAACGCGUGAGGAACCUGCCUCAAAGAGGGGGACAACAGUUGGAAACGACUGCUAAUACCGCAUAAGCCCACGACCCGGCAUCGGGAAGAGGGAAAAGGAGCAAUCCGCUUUGAGAUGGCCUCGCGUCCGAUUAGCUAGUUGGUGAGGUAACGGCCCACCAAGGCGACGAUCGGUAGCCGGACUGAGAGGUUGAACGGCCACAUUGGGACUGAGACACGGCCCAGACUCCUACGGGAGGCAGCAGUGGGGAAUAUUGCACAAUGGGGGAAACCCUGAUGCAGCGACGCCGCGUGGAGGAAGAAGGUCUUCGGAUUGUAAACUCCUGUUGUGAGGAAGAUAAAGACGGUACUCAACAAGGAAGGACGGCUACUCUG
Molecule: ribosomal RNA, 487 nt
Filed under: uncultured bacterium
Lineage: Bacteria
Description: bacterial SSU rRNA
Rfam family: Bacterial small subunit ribosomal RNA
Source: RNAcentral